GGAGCAGUGGCGAAACUGCACACGCGGCGCUCUUGGAAGGCGCUGCCGCGCAAGCCGAUUGCGGGUUCAAAUCCCCCUGCUCCACCU
Molecule: transfer RNA, 87 nt
Filed under: Chloroflexota bacterium
Lineage: Bacteria; Bacillati; Chloroflexota
Description: Chloroflexi bacterium (soil metagenome) tRNA-Pro
Rfam family: tRNA
About the family: Transfer RNA (tRNA) molecules are approximately 80 nucleotides in length. Their secondary structure includes four short double-helical elements and three loops (D, anti-codon, and T loops).
Source: RNAcentral